AUACGGAGGGUGCAAGCGUUACUCGGAAUCACUGGGCGUAAAGCGCGCGCAGGCGGGCUGAUAAGUUGGAUGUGAAAGCCUACGGCUCAACCGUAGAACUGCAUCCAAAACUGUCAGUCUAGAGUGUGGGAGAGGAAGAUGGAAUUAGUUGUGUAGGGGUAAAAUCCGUAGAGAUAACUAGGAAUACCAAAAGCGAAGGCAAUCUUCUGGAACACUACUGACGCUGAGGCGCGAAAGCGUGGGGAGCAAACAGGAUUAGAAACCCCGGUUAGUCC
RNAcentral lists this ribosomal RNA (275 nucleotides) under uncultured bacterium. RNAcentral describes it as "partial 16S ribosomal RNA". It matches the Rfam family "Bacterial small subunit ribosomal RNA", at positions 523 to 796 of the family's 1533-position model. The record is from RNAcentral.